AUUGAACGCUGGCGGCAUGCCUUACACAUGCAAGUCGAACGGUAACAGGUCUUCGGAUGCUGACGAGUGGCGAACGGGUGAGUAAUACAUCGGAACGUGCCUAGUAGUGGGGGAUAACUACUCGAAAGAGUGGCUAAUACCGCAUGAGAUCUACGGAUGAAAGCAGGGGAUCGCAAGACCUUGUGCUACUAGAGCGGCCGGUGGCAGAUUAGGUAGUUGGUGGGAUAAAAGCUUACCAAGCCGACGAUCUGUAGCUGGUCUGAGAGGACGAUCAGCCACACUGGGACGGAGACACGGCCCAGACUCCUACGGGAGGCAGCAGUGGGGAAUUUUGGACAAUGGGCGCAAGCCUGAUUCAGCAAUGCCGCGUGCAGGAUGAAGGCCUUCGGGUUGUAAACUGCUUUUGUACGGAACGAAAAGCCCUGGGUUAAUACCCUGGGGUCAUGACGGUACCGUAAGAAUAAGCACCGGCUAACUACGUGCCAGCAGCCGCCGUAA
This 498-nucleotide ribosomal RNA is filed under the name uncultured bacterium. Its description in RNAcentral is "partial 16S ribosomal RNA". It matches the Rfam family "Bacterial small subunit ribosomal RNA", at positions 30 to 523 of the family's 1533-position model. The record is from RNAcentral.